CCCUUAGAUGUUCUGGGCCGCACGCGCGCUACACUGAUGCAUUCAACGAGUUUCUUCCUGGUCCGAGAGGAAUGGGUAACCUUUUGAAAGUGCAUCGUGAUAGGGAUAGACUAUUGCAAUUAUUGGUCUUCAACGAGGAAUUCCUAGUAGACGUAGUUCGUCAGACUGCAUCGAUUACGUCCCUGCCCUUUGUACACACCGCCCGUCGCUCCUACCGAUUGAAUGCUCAGGUGAGCCAUUCGGACCUUCAUCAUGCCGGUUUCCGGUUUUGAUGAGGGAAAGUCUUGCGAACCUUAUCAUUUAGAGGAAGGAGAAGUCGUAACA
RNAcentral lists this ribosomal RNA (324 nucleotides) under uncultured eukaryote. RNAcentral describes it as "partial 18S ribosomal RNA". It matches the Rfam family "Eukaryotic small subunit ribosomal RNA", at positions 1470 to 1796 of the family's 1831-position model. The record is from RNAcentral.